This is a long non-coding RNA of Salarias fasciatus (jewelled blenny), 743 nucleotides long. RefSeq lists it as uncharacterized. The transcript is spliced from 3 exons. The record is from RefSeq and is a predicted model, not a curated record. NCBI's taxonomy places the organism in Eukaryota, Metazoa, Chordata, Actinopteri, Blenniiformes, Blenniidae.
GGCUGCUUUCCAUCACUGCAGAGGAGGUUCAACGGAACCGAACGGUGCCGUUAGAAAUGGAAAAAAAAGGGGGGGGGGGGAAAUCACCGCAAAUGGGGAAAAAAGGGGAAAAAAACACCGUCGUCUCCGAGCGGCUGCUCUCUAUCGGCUCCAGACCCGGUCAGCACCGCGCAAAAUGCAAGAAACGGAGGAGAGGCUGUGUGGACUGCGGCUGAGAUGGAGCUGAUGGAGGACAGGAGUCGUCCUCCUCUGGGCCCAGGGGUGGAGGAGAGAGAUGCAACGUUGUCAGGAUGGAGCAUCCACCUCCAGCCGGACUCUCCUGUGUUAUGAAACCCCAGCAGCUGGGAGGAGGAGGCUGGAGCACCACCCAGACCUGACGGAGCCCCUGAGAGAAAUUCAGGCUUCAGGUGAGCUGGGAGCUGCAGCGUGAUGAACGGCAUGUCCAUCAGGAGGAGCAGCAGGAGGAGCGGCGUCUGAACCUGCAGUUCCUUGAAGAUGAAGCAGUGCAGUGAGGCUGAAUCAGGCUGAUUUGGCCUCUCAGCAGCAGCAGAGCCAGGCAUUCAGAUGUCCCUGCAGCGGGUCUCUCUGCAGGUCCAGACCCCGAGAACCCACAGGAGUAACUCAACAACUAGUGGUGUUGAUGUCCUUUCCAAUAAAAACUGUUUUCACACCCAUAUGUGUCUGAAUUCACUGGUUCUUGCUCAACACAAGCACAGCAGUGUUUUUGCAUUUGGCAUUUCUUU